AAAAAAAAAAAAAAAAAAAAAAAAAGACUUUUUCUCUUAUAGCACUGAGUAUUUGGUUCAGCUAGUAGAUAUGGUACAUCAACAACGCAUAAGCAUAAUCCGACUUAUUACAGUGCAACUUUGAGAGGAAUAUCAAAAUGAUACAAAAUCACUAGCUAGCGGCGGGAGCAGGGCAUCCUCUUUAUUACAAUUGCAGACAAGAUG
Molecule: unclassified non-coding RNA, 204 nt
Filed under: Hevea brasiliensis (rubber tree)
Lineage: Eukaryota; Viridiplantae; Streptophyta; Magnoliopsida; Malpighiales; Euphorbiaceae
Source: RNAcentral